AAUCUCUUAGAAAUAAGAGAGUGCCUCAUUAGAGGAGCCUGGUGACAGGUGCUGCAUGGCUGUCGUCAGCUCGUGUCGUGAGAUGUUGGGCUAAGUCCCGCAACGAGCGCAACCCUUGCCUUUAGUUGCCAUCAUUAAGUUGGGCACUCUAGAGGGACUGCCGGUGUCAAACCGGAGGAAGGUGGGGAUGACGUCAAGUCCUCAUGGCCUUUAUGACCAGGGCUACACACGUACUACAAUGGCAUGUACAAAGGGCAGCCACUUCGCAAGAAGGAGCGAAUCCUUAAAACAUGUCUCAGUCCGGAUUGGAGUCUGCAACUCGACUCCAUGAAGUUGGAAUCGCUAGUAAUCGUAGAUCAGCAUGCUACGGUGAAUACGUUCCCGGGCCUUGUACACACCGCCCGUCACACCACGGGAGUUGGUUGUACCAGGAGUAGUUGAGCGAACCUUCGGGACGCAGACUACCAAGGUAUGGCUGGUAACUGGGGUGAAGUCGUAACAAGGU
This 505-nucleotide ribosomal RNA is filed under the name uncultured bacterium. Its description in RNAcentral is "bacterial SSU rRNA". It matches the Rfam family "Bacterial small subunit ribosomal RNA", at positions 994 to 1497 of the family's 1533-position model. The record is from RNAcentral.